GAUGAACGCUGGCGGCGUGCCUAAUACAUGCAAGUCGAGCGAACAGACGAGGAGCUUGCUCCUCUGACGUUAGCGGCGGACGGGUGAGUAACACGUGGAUAACCUACCUAUAAGACUGGGAUAACUUCGGGAAACCGGAGCUAAUACCGGAUAAUAUAUUGAACCGCAUGGUUCAAUAGUGAAAGACGGUUUUGCUGUCACUUAUAGAUGGAUCCGCGCCGCAUUAGCUAGUUGGUAAGGUAACGGCUUACCAAGGCAACGAUGCGUAGCCGACCUGAGAGGGUGAUCGGCCACACUGGAACUGAGACACGGUCCAGACUCCUACGGGAGGCAGCAGUAGGGAAUCUUCCGCAAUGGGCGAUAGCCUGACGGAGCAACGCCGCGUGAGUGAUGAAGGUCUUCGGAUCGUAAAACUCUGUUAUUAGGGAGGAACAAAUGUGUAAGUAACUAUGCACGUCUUGACGGUACCUAAUCAGAAAGCCACGGCUAACUACGUG
This 497-nucleotide ribosomal RNA is filed under the name uncultured bacterium. RNAcentral describes it as "partial 16S ribosomal RNA". It matches the Rfam family "Bacterial small subunit ribosomal RNA", at positions 28 to 507 of the family's 1533-position model. The record is from RNAcentral.